UUGAGUGCAUAACUGAACAUAAUUAUUUGAAGGUUGACUUUUUUUGUAUUUGUAUUUGUAUUAAGCCAUUUAGCAUUGGCUGGUCUAUUCUAUUUUGGCACUCGGGAAAACACUCAUUUUAACUAGUUUGUAAAUAUCAAUGAACAUAUUUAAACAUCUAAGUUGUAAGUAGACAAGCAUAAAAUUAUAACCAUGCCUUUGGUGACCAGUAAAGUGUUUAUUUAAAGGGCCUUGAAAUAUAAGUGCGACUUAUACUCAGGUGCGACUUAUAGUCCGGAAAAUACGGUAUGUAGUUUUAUAUCACAUUGCAAGGCCUUUUACUGUCAGUCAAUCUUUUUUGUCUUGUUUGCUAUUACCAGUAUUUAUCUUUACAGAAUCCACUGUGCCCUUGAGACAAAAGAAGAUUGUGUUUGACAAGAUAAUGCUGUUGUCUCGUGCAAAAGAAGAAAAGACUAUUCUCAUUAAAAAGAUGAAACAACACUGGCAGUUCCUAGCUGGUGUCUCCAAGACAUUAGGUGAUGAUAUAAAGUUGGUCAGAGGUGACUUGAAAGAAGGGAUCUGUCCUACUAACAUAUCUGUGGAGGCAUACGAGGGACUGUGCUGCAUUAUGUUGGCAAGAUUGAGUGACCUACAACAUCAAAUGAGUGAGGUGAAGUCAAAAUAUAGGCAGAUUGUGGUGGAUCCAAGUGUUCUCUCAAUUGAUGAGGAAGAUGGAGUAGCAGUUUGUGAGGAAUUUCCUUACCUCCAUGAUGACAUUGAUUCAUCCGAUGAAGACUGAUGGGACCAAAUGGAAGAACAGUUGGGAGCCUUUGUCCUGCCUUUGAGAUGUUGGAGUUAGCACCAGAGAAGCAGGGUUAUCCAGAGAAGCAGGGUCAUACAGUCAGGGUUCUAAGUUAACACCCGCCAACCCGCCAAAUGCAGGUUAAAAUUCAUUUUGGCGGGUGUUAAUUAAAACUUACUAGCCAGUUUGGCUGGUGAUGCAUGACAUGAGGCUCUGUUCUCGGUCAUUUAUCACCCUGGCAGCACUUCCUACAUUUCCCAUGAACACUGUGCUGUAAUGCUACAUGAUGAUGUUUCAUAUGCCCAUUGGCUGCACGCAGUUUGCAGUGAAACCAGCGCGAAAAAACAUGGAAACGAAUAGAGUGUCCAUCAGAAAACACAAGGAAGGAAGAAGAAAAUGCGAAAGCGUGCGCAUGGAUUAUGACUUUGUGGGUACGGAUUUGAAAACCGAGGGUAUGGUUUACAAAAUCUGUGCGCACAGAUUGGAAAUUUGUGGGCAUGAUUUGUUAAACCGAGGGAACAGUUUAUAAAUUUGUGAGUACGGUUUACAAACUGAGGGGAUGGAUUGCAAAACCGUCGCCACGGAUUGAUUUUUUUUCUCCUACAGGUGAUGUGCGGGGCUCCGUAGGAUAUCGACAAAGAGACAAAGAAACUAAGAAAAUAAAAUGUAAUGCCAAAUGGCUGACGGGUCAUGAAUGGCUUGUGUUUGAUCACAAGAAUGUCGUAAUGCUUUGUCAGGAUUGCCGCGUGUAAAUCACGCGAAAGAAUAAAAACAAAACGAGCAAUUUCGUGGUGGGAACUAAUCAUUUUAAAUUUGAGUCCGUGUAUAUUUUGUUGUAUGCAUUGUACUUUAUAUGUGUUUUUCAUGCCAACAAUGUUAAUAAAAUGAUCAAAUUCA
Carassius auratus (goldfish) is the source of this 1678-nucleotide long non-coding RNA. RefSeq lists it as uncharacterized. The record is from RefSeq and is a predicted model, not a curated record. The transcript has 4 exons. NCBI's taxonomy places the organism in Eukaryota, Metazoa, Chordata, Actinopteri, Cypriniformes, Cyprinidae.